This 561-nucleotide ribosomal RNA is filed under the name [Candida] sp. UWOPS 92-315.1. RNAcentral describes it as "LSU rRNA". It matches the Rfam family "Eukaryotic large subunit ribosomal RNA", at positions 63 to 647 of the family's 3401-position model. Lineage: Eukaryota; Fungi; Ascomycota; Saccharomycetes; Saccharomycetales. The record is from RNAcentral.
AACCAACAGGGAUUGCCUUAGUAACGGCGAGUGAAGCGGCAAAAGCUCAAAUUUGAAAUCUAGUGCCUUCGGUACUCGAGUUGUAAUUUGAAGAAAGUUUCUCUGAAUAGUCCUUUAUCUAUGUUCCUUGGAACAGGACGUCAUAGAGGGUGAGAAUCCCGUGUGAUUUUGGUAACUAUUCUUUGUGAGAUUCUUUCGAAGAGUCGAGUUGUUUGGGAAUGCAGCUCUAAGUGGGUGGUAAAUUCCAUCUAAAGCUAAAUAUUGGCGAGAGACCGAUAGCGAACAAGUACAGUGAUGGAAAGAUGAAAAGAACUCUGAAGAGAGAGUGAAAAAGUACGUGAAAUUGCUGAAAGGGAAGGGCUUUAGGUUUGACUUGGUGUUUAAUAAUUCUCUUCCUUCGGGGGGAUGUUCUUGUUUUUCACUGGGCCAAUAUCAGUUUUUCGGAUAGAGUACUAAUUGGAAUGUAACCUCCCUCGGGAAGUAUUAUAGCCUUUUAACGAUCUAUUUGGGGGACUGAGGUCUGCGCUUUUGCUAGGAUAUUGGCAUAACGACCUUAAGCCC